UGGGGGAAUAUUGCACAAUGGGGGGAAACCCUGAUGCAGCGACGCCGCGUGGAGGAAGAAGGUCUUCGGAUUGUAAACUCCUGUUGUUGAGGAAGAUAAUGACGGUACUCAACAAGGAAGUGACGGCUAACUACGUGCCAGCAGCCGCGGUAAAACGUAGGUCACAAGCGUUGUCCGGAAUUACUGGGUGUAAAGGGAGCGCAGGCGGGAAGACAAGUUGGAAGUGAAAUCCAUGGGCUCAACCCAUGAACUGCUUUCAAAACUGUUUUUCUUGAGUAGUGCAGAGGUAGGCGGAAUUCCCGGUGUAGCGGUGGAAUGCGUAGAUAUCGGGAGGAACACCAGUGGCGAAGGCGGCCUACUGGGCACCAACUGACGCUGAGGCUCGAAAGUGUGGGUAG
This 398-nucleotide ribosomal RNA is filed under the name uncultured Faecalibacterium sp. RNAcentral's name for it is "bacterial SSU rRNA". It matches the Rfam family "Bacterial small subunit ribosomal RNA", at positions 354 to 768 of the family's 1533-position model. Lineage: Bacteria; Bacillati; Bacillota; Clostridia; Eubacteriales; Oscillospiraceae. The record is from RNAcentral.